RNAcentral lists this ribosomal RNA (436 nucleotides) under uncultured bacterium. Its description in RNAcentral is "bacterial SSU rRNA". It matches the Rfam family "Bacterial small subunit ribosomal RNA", at positions 28 to 452 of the family's 1533-position model. The record is from RNAcentral.
GACGAACGCUGGCGGCGUGCUUAACACAUGCAAGUCGAGCGGAAAGGCCCCUUCGGGGGUACUCGAGCGGCGAACGGGUGAGUAACACGUGAGCAACCUGCCCCUGACACUGGGAUAAGCCUGGGAAACCGGGUCUAAUACCGGAUAUGACCUGCCUCCGCAUGGGGGUGGGUGGAAAGGUUGGCCCGUUUGGGUCUUCCGGUCAGGGAUGGGCUCGCGGCCUAUCAGCUUGUUGGUGGGGUAACGGCCUACCAAGGCGACGAUCCGUAGCUGGUCUGAGAGGAUGAUCAGCCACACUGGGACUGAGACACGGCCCAGACUCCUACGGGAGGCAGCAGUGGGGAAUCUUGGACAAUGGGCGAAAGCCUGAUCCAGCCAUGCCGCGUGAGUGACGAAGGUCUUCGGAUUGUAAAGCUCUUUUGGCGGGGAAGAUAAU